Long non-coding RNA from Mauremys reevesii (Reeves's turtle), 2118 nucleotides. RefSeq lists it as uncharacterized. The record is from RefSeq and is a predicted model, not a curated record. Lineage: Eukaryota; Metazoa; Chordata; Testudines; Geoemydidae. The transcript has 3 exons.
UUGAUGAAAGCACCAAACCAAUAUAUAAGGGAAUGUGAUAGCAGACUAUAACAGGUGAUGUUAGAACUCCAUGUGCCAUUCAAGUUAAAGUGUGGCUGCAGAAGCUGAAAGACAAGGAAGAGCUAAAUGAUGUCUAAACUUUUAGUCAUGAGAAAAUUAGUUAUGGAUGGACAGUUGCAUGUCCAAAUGUGGAUUUUAGGUAUUAACUUAAGAGUAAAAGAGCCAAAGUUUACCAGUAUAUAGAUGAAAAGUAGAGUCACUUGUAUCAAAUAUAUACAGAUGAGUCCCAAAAAGAAAAAAAAUCCAGGAAAAGUAGGGAUGGCAUAUUGUGUACUAAAGUUGGGAAUAAGUACAUCUAAAAAUAUAUGAUUUUGUAGCUGUCAUGACAGCCAUACUAGUAGCAAUUAUGUUAGCACUAAAUUGGAUCUGGGAUGUACACCCAGCAGCAGCGGUCAUUUUUUCAGAUUCAAUCUCGGACCUUAUGGCAAUUAAAAGGCUGUCUUAGUAUGCAGAAGUGAUUUAAUCAAUUAAAUUCUAUUUCUAAUAACAGAGUGAGUACAGAUGGGGAUACAAGUAGCAUUAGCUUGGAUUCCAGCACAUAUGGGGAUAACAGGGAAUGAAAUGGCAGACAAAGCAGCUAAAAAUGCUGUAAGAAAUGGAAAGGUUGAUAUAGAAAUACCCUUGAGUAAACAGGAAAUCAAAAGCCUAGUACAGAAAAAUGUAAAAGAGGAAUGGCCAAAAACAAAAUUGGAGUAAUGGGAGAAAAGGAAGAAGAUUUUUUGAAUUGUGCCUGAGAGUUGAGGAUACUUCAGGGCCUACAUAAGAAAAAUGAACUGAUUUUGUCUAGAAUACUAACUGGCCAUUGUGGCUUUGUGAUGGGGUUAAUGGAGGCCAGGUGGGCCUAUUAACCUAGUAGAUUGGAGGCUAAGAAGAAAGCCUUAAUUAGAGGAAUAGGCUCACCUGUAUAAAGCCAGGUAUGCUGGCUGCAUAGAAUGGGGCUGUUGCAGGGGAAAGCUGUAGGAAAGUAGGCUGAAAUCACUCCUGGAGGGGAGGUAGUUGGAGGCUGGCAAACCCAAAGAGGGUGGGAGCCAGUGAUGUAGGAAGAACCCAGGGAAACCGAGACAAAAAGGGUAGGACUGCACAGGGAAAGUGGCUGCUCGUUAUAGGGAGCAGGUCUGGGUUCCCCUACUAGCCAUUGGAGAGUGGCAAAGGGUGUUAGAGAUGCCAACCAGCAGGUCUGGAAAGACUGUGAAUUCCUUGGCCAGAAAGCCAAGCUACAGAAAGGAAGCUGCAGAGCUGGGAGUGAGCGUGGCAGCAGAGUGAGAGAAGACAACACCAGAGGGUGAGCACAAGCUGGCAGAACUAAUCUCCAAGAUGGUCAGCAGGUGGUGCUGCUCAUGAAAGUAAAGCUGUGUCUUUGGAUGAAGUGAAUGUCUGUAAAAUGGAAAAGAAGCCUAUGAGAGAACUGCAUUCUGCUACACUAUGAGGAAUGACCAUAAAGUUCACAUCUUACACCUGCCUUCCUCCACCCACCCUCCCUCCAUCCAUCCAGGAAUGAAGAAUGUCUAUGUGGUGAUUGUAAUCCUGUUUGGAGACAAAUUGGGUUGUCAAACUGAAGUCUGGAGGAAUCCUGCCUUUGGAAAUAAUAUCACUUUCUGAAACUCUGUUUGGGACUAAGCAGCUAUUCCUCCAUCAGGAGGCCCAGAGUUGUUCUCAACUGAGAUUUCAUUUUAAUUUUCCAGCUUCUAUUCUGCAGUUUUGCUAAUCACCGUUUAUCUGUGUGGGAUGCUGGUUAUAUACAGAGGACGGGAUUUUAAAAAAAUCACUUAGCAUGUAAGUUCUUUGGGUCGGGGCCUACUUUUUUGUUCUGUUUGUACAGCAGCAGCACAGUGGGGUUCUGGUCUGUGUUUGGGGGCUCUGCGUGCUAACACAAUACAAAUAAUAAAUUAUAUAAAAGUGCCCAAUGUUGGCCUAAGAGUGAUCCCAUUGAAGUCAAUGGUAAAACCAGGUCCCAGUAACUUCAAUUGAAUUUCAAGGUACUUAAUGCCUUGUAGAAGGCACUCAGGGCCGGAUUUUUAACUCCCCUUGAGAUCACUUUGUUCAUUGACUUGAGAUCAA